This 2061-nucleotide ribosomal RNA is filed under the name wastewater metagenome. RNAcentral describes it as "bacterial LSU rRNA". It matches the Rfam family "Bacterial large subunit ribosomal RNA", at positions 579 to 2539 of the family's 2925-position model. The record is from RNAcentral.
AUAGUUGACGCCUGUGAUGGCGUGCCUUUUGCAUAAUGAGCCAACGAGUUAAUGUCAUAAGCGAGGUUAAGUAUUAGAGGUAUGUAGCCGUAGCGAAAGCGAGUCCGAAGAGGGCGUAUAAGUUUAUGGUAUUAGACCCGAAACCAGGUGAUCUACCUAUGGUCAGGUUGAAAGUUGGGUAAAACCAACUGGAGGACCGCACCAACCGUCGUUGAAAAGGCGGUGGAGGAACUGUGGGUAGGGGUGAAAGGCCAAACAAACCUGGAGAUAGCUGGUUCUCUCCGAAACAUAUUUAGGUAUGGCCUCAGUGGAGAUUAUUGGAGGUAGAGCACUGAAUGGGCUAGGGGGCUUACACGCUUACUGAACCCAAUCAAACUCCGAAUGCCAAUAAUUGCUCACUGGGAGACAGGGCGCGGGCGAUAAGGUUCGCGUGCGAGAGGGGAACAACCCAGACUGUCAGCUAAGGCCCCGAAAUAGAUACUUAGUGCGUAAGGAUGUUCAAUUGCCCAGACAGCCAGGAUCUUGGCUUAGAAGCAGCCAUGAUUUAAAGAGUGCGUAACAGCUCACUGGUCGAGUGGUAGGGCACCGAAGAUAAUCGGGACUGAAGUAUCUUGCCGAAGCUGCGGACUUGCAUAUAGAUGUGAGUGGUAGGAGAGCAUUGUGAUUGCGCAGAAGGUGUAUUGUGAGAUAUGCUGGAGCGGUCACAAGAGACCAUGUUGGCAUGAGUAACGAUAAUGCGGGUGAGAAACCCGCACACCAUAAGCCCAAGGAUUCCUGAGUAAAGUUAAUCUUCUCAGGGUUAGUCGGUCCCUAAGGUAUAGCGAUAAGGCGAAGCUGAUGGGAAUCAGGUUAAUAAUCCUGAACCUGAGUAUUGAGUGAAGGAGUGACGCGACGGUGCUGCAAGGACAGCUGUUGGAAUAGCUGUUGAAUGCAGGUAGGAAGUGAGACAGGUAAAUCCGUUUCACAGAUAUUCCGAGAUGCAGGACGAGGCGUAAGCCGUAAAGCUUGUUUAGAGACGUUGCCGAGAAAUAGCUUCUAGCGUUAAUCAAUAUUCAGACCGUACCGCAAACCGACACAGGUGGGCGAGGAGAGUAUCCUAAGGUGUUCGAGUGAACUCUGGUUAAGGAACUAGGCAAAAUUACCCCGUAACUUCGGGAGAAGGGGUGCCCCGUUAUCGUGAUUAGUCAGCGCUAUGAGCGAGAGGGGGCCGCAGUGAAUAGGCCCAAGCGACUGUUUAUCAAAAACACAGGUCUAUGCGAAGGCGAAAGCCACGGUAUAUAGACUGACACCUGCCCGGUGCCGGAAGGUUAAGUGGAGAGGUUAGCCUGCACUAAUUUUAUCAUAGUGAAGAGAGAAGAGAGAAGGGUUAAGAGAGAAGUAGAGAAGAGUAAAAGAGAUAAAGAUAAGAGAUGGUGAAAUUAGUGCAGGCGAAGCUUCGAAAUGAAGCCCCGGUAAACGGCGGCCGUAACUAUAACGGUCCUAAGGUAGCGAAAUUCCUUGUCGGGUAAGUUCCGACCUGCACGAAUGGUGUAACGAUUUGGGCGCUGUCUCAACCAGGGGCUCGGUGAAAUUGAAGUAGCGGUGAAGAUGCCGCUUACCCGCGAACGGACGGAAAGACCCCGUGAACCUUUACUGUAGCUUGGCAUUGUAAAUUGGUGCAGUAUGUGUAGGAUAGGUGGGAGGCUAUGAGGCGUGCACGCCAGUGUGCGCGGAGCCAGCGUUGAAAUACCACCCUUAUUGUAUUGAUUUACUAACGAUAGAGCAACUAUUGGACAUUGCCAGGUGGGCAGUUUGACUGGGGCGGUCGCCUCCGAAAGAGUAACGGAGGCUUACCAAGGUUCCCUCCGGCUGGUUGGUAAUCAGCCAAAGAGCGCAAAGGUAUAAGGGAGCUUAACUGCGAGACCGACGGGUCGAGCAGGUGGGAAACCAGGUCUUAGUGAUCCGGCGGUUCUGAAUGGAAGGGCCGUUGCUCAAAGGAUAAAAGGUACUCCGGGGAUAACAGGCUGAUACCGCCCAAGAGUUCACAUCGACGGCGGUGUUUGGCACCUCGAUGUCGGCUCA